Molecule: ribosomal RNA, 253 nt
Filed under: uncultured bacterium
Lineage: Bacteria
Description: partial 16S ribosomal RNA
Rfam family: Bacterial small subunit ribosomal RNA
Source: RNAcentral
UACGGAGGAUGCAAGCGUUAUCCGGAAUGAUUGGGCGUAAAGCGUCCGCAGGUGGCUGUGUAAGUCUGCUGUUAAAGAGUGAGGCUCAACCUCAUAAAAGCAGUGGAAACUACACGGCCAGAGUGCGUUCGGGGCAGAGGGAAUUCCUGGUGUAGCGGUGAAAUGCGUAGAUAUCAGGAAGAACACCGGUGGCGAAAGCGCUCUGCUAGGCCGCAACUGACACUGAGGGACGAAAGCUAGGGGAGCAAACGGG